ACUGGGGCUAAUUCUCGAUAGGCGAAGAACUCUGGAAUGAGUCUUCACCCAAAAGACGCUUAGAUCAUGCUUCUAGACGUCGCCCAAGGAUGGGGCCGCGGCCGAUCAGGUUGUUGGUGAGGUAAUGGCUCACCAAGCCUUUAACCGGUGCGGGCCGUGGGAGCGGGAGCCCGGAGAUGGGCACUGAGACAAGGGCCCAGGCCCUACGGGGCGCAGCAGUCGCGAAAACUUUGCAAUAAGCGAAAGCUUGACAGGGCUAUCCCGAGUGCCAUCCGCUGAGGAAGGCUUUUACCCAGUCUAGUAAGCUGGGGGAAUAAGGAGAGGGCAAGUCUGGUGUCAGCCGCCGCGGUAAUACCAGCUCUCCGAGUGGUGUGGAUGUUUAUUGGGCCUAAAGCAUCCGUAGCUGGCUGAGUUAGUCCCCUGUUAAAUCCACCGAAUCAAUCGUUGGAUUGCGGGGGAUACUGCUCGGCUAGGGGACGGGAGAGGCAGACGGUAUUUCCGGGGUAGGGGUGAAAUCCUAUAAUCCCGGGAAGACCACCAGUGGCGAAGGCUGUCUGCUAGAACGCGCCCGACGGUGAGGGAUGAAAGCUGGGGUAGCGAACCGGAUUAGAUACCCGGGUAGUCCCAGCUGUAAACGAUGCAGGCUAGGUGUUUGGGCGGCCACGUGCCGCUCUAGUGCCGCAGGGAAGCUGUUAAGCCUGCCGCCUGGGGAGUACGAUCGCAAGAUUGAAAC
Molecule: ribosomal RNA, 733 nt
Filed under: uncultured archaeon
Lineage: Archaea
Description: bacterial SSU rRNA
Rfam family: Archaeal small subunit ribosomal RNA
Source: RNAcentral